GUUUUUGUGGGAACCAUUACAUCGCUGCUCUCCCUCAGAGGAACGGGGUGACGAUGAUGAGCAAUCACAGCCGGAGCAGACUUUCUGCCUCAAAUUGUGACAGGAUCCUCGACAAUUGACCACGUCCCGCUUUGUUUGGCCCAAUUGCUAAUUCAUGCAAGUUGACAUUCUGGAGGCGACAAUUAUGAGUGAUGAAAGGAACUGAAAAUACGAGGAGGGAGCACUUAAGGGGAAAGGAGGAAGCAUCAAGUUGAGUUUAUCCUGAAUAAAUCCACAUCGGAAGCUCUUCUGAAAACCCAACCCCACUGAACAGACAACGUGACGGCCCAGAGAUGAUGAGGAUUCCUACAGCGAGAGGACGAGUCCGCAAAAGAAUAAAAAAACAUGAAGGUCCACGAGCUCGCUGAGUCACGGGAGGAGGAGGAGAAGCUGCUGCUGUGUGAAACUUUCAGCCAUGAUGAUGAUGAUGAUGAUGAUGAAGAAGGUGAUGUCACAGCAGGUCAACACCUGAGUGACAUCAUGGAUCAGGGUGUGGUCAGCAGACUCGUCACUGAGCUGAAGAAGAUCAGCAGCGUUUUUAUCACAUUGUGCCACGAGAGGUGUCUUUUUUUUUCAAAUCGUGUAAUUGAUUGAAAUCUGGUUUAUUUCUCACUUGAGCUUCAUUAUUCUGAUUUCACCCUGGACACGUGUAGUUCUGAUGAAGCUUCACUGCAGCACAGGGAAGUU
Hippoglossus stenolepis (Pacific halibut) is the source of this 726-nucleotide long non-coding RNA. RefSeq lists it as uncharacterized. The transcript is spliced from 3 exons. The record is from RefSeq and is a predicted model, not a curated record. NCBI's taxonomy places the organism in Eukaryota, Metazoa, Chordata, Actinopteri, Pleuronectiformes, Pleuronectidae.